AAAAAAAUGAGUUUGAUCCUGGCUCAGAAUGAACGCUGGCGGUAUGCCUAACACAUGCAAGUCGGACGCUGUGCUCUUUUGCUUUAUGCAAUUGCAUUUGGCGCAAAGAAGCACGGGGUGGCGAACGGGUGAGGAACGCGUGAGAAUCUACCAAGCAGACGGGGUCAAUCCCUCCUAGCCUUCUUGAAUCGAGAAGAAAAAAGCUUCAUUCGAAACAUGCUUCAAUCUUGUUCCAAGAGAAAGGCGUAUUUCUUUCGAAUCAGCGCUGCUUGAUGAGCUUGCGUCGGAUUAGGUAGUUGGUAAGGGAAUGGCUUACCAAGCCAACGAUCCGUAGCCGGCCUUUUCGGGUGAUCGGCCACACUGGGACUGAGAUACGGCCUAGACUCCCACGGGAGGCAGCAGUGAGGAAUCUUGGACAAUGGGCGAAAGCCUGAUCCAGCAAUACCGAGUGGGUGAGACGAAGGCUAAUUAGGUCGUAAAGCCCUUUCGUCGAGAAGAGACAAUGACAAGACUCGAAAAAGAAGCCCCGUCUAACUCCGUGCCAGCAGACGCGGUAAUACGGGGGGGGCUAGUGUUAUUCAGAAUAAUUGGGCGUAAAGGGUACGUAGGCGGUCAGAUUGAGCUCAGACCUAAGCCAUAGGCUUAACCUAUGGACGGUCUUGUAGCUGUUCUGUCUUUGAGUUGGAUAGGGAAGAGUGGAAUUUCUAGUGGAGAGAUUAAAUUCAUAGAUAUUAGAAGGAAGGCCGGCGGCGAAGGCAACUCUUUAGAUCCAGACUGACGCUAAGGUACGAAAGCGUGGGGAGCAAACGGGAUUAGAUACCCCAGUAGUCCACGCCGUAAACGAUGAGUGCUCGCCUUUGGUCUUUCGAUCAGAGGCUUAGCAAACGCGAUAAGCACUCCGCCUGGGGAGUACGAUGGCAACAUUGAAACUCAAAGGAAUUGGCGGGGGCCUGCACAAGCGGUGGAACAUGUGGUUUAAUUCGAAACAACGCGCAAAACCUUACCAGCCCUUGACAUAAAGCACAGCGCCCUUUGAGAGGAGAGGCACUAUACAAUGCUUUACAGGUGCUGCAUGGCUGUCGUCAGCUCGUGUCGUGAGAUGUCGGGUUAAGUCCUAUAACGAGCGAAACCCUCGUCCCUAGUUGCAAAGUGCGGCUCGUUUAUUAAGCUGUUCACAGAACUCUAGGGAGACUGCCGGCGAUAUGCCGGAUGAAAGUGGGGAUGACGUCAAGUCCUCAUGGCCUUUAUGGGCUGGGCUACACACGUGUUACAAUGGCAAGCACAGAGGGAAGCAAUGCCGCAAGGCGGAGCGAAUCCUUAAAUCUUGUCCCAGUCCGGAUUGCUCGCUGCAACUCGCGAGCAUGAAGUUGGAAUCGCUAGUAAUCGCGGAUCAGCACGCCGCGGUGAAUAUGUAACCGGGCCUUGCACACACCGCCUGUCACAUCCUGGGAAUUGGUUGUGUCUGAAUAAGGUGAAAACGUCAUUGAUUGAUAAGGCUUGCAAUACUCUUGCUGAGCAAGGCUUACACGCAAAGGCGGCUAGAUCUUACACGGCACGGUCAGUAACUGAGAUGAAGUCAUAACAAGGUGGCCGUAGGGGAACCUGCGGCCGGAAUGACCCUAAA
Molecule: ribosomal RNA, 1624 nt
Filed under: Microspora stagnorum
Lineage: Eukaryota; Viridiplantae; Chlorophyta; Chlorophyceae; Microsporaceae
Description: SSU rRNA
Rfam family: Bacterial small subunit ribosomal RNA
Source: RNAcentral